This 207-nucleotide ribosomal RNA is filed under the name uncultured bacterium. RNAcentral's name for it is "partial 16S ribosomal RNA". It matches the Rfam family "Bacterial small subunit ribosomal RNA", at positions 568 to 774 of the family's 1533-position model. The record is from RNAcentral.
UGCGUAGGUGGUGAGGUAAGUCGGAUGUGAAAGCUCGGAGCUCAACUCCGAAAUGGCAUUGGAAACUACCUUGCUAGAGGGUUGGGAGGGGGGACGUGGAAUGCUUGGUGUAGCAGUGAAAUGCGUAGAUAUCAAGCGGAACACCAGUGGCGAAGGCGAGUCCCUGGACAACUCCUGACACUGAGGCACGAAAGCUGGGAGCAAACA